CCUACGGGAGGCAGCAGUGGGGAAUAUUGCACAAUGGGGGGAACCCUGAUGCAGCGACGCCGCGUGUGGGAAGACGGUCCUCUGGAUUGUAAACCACUGUCCCCAGGGACGAAAAUGACGGUACCUGGGGAGGAAGCUCCGGCUAACUACGUGCGAGCAGCCGCGGUAAUACGUAGGGAGCGAGCGUUGUCCGGAAGUACUGGGUGUAAAGGGAGCGUAGGCGGGGAUGCAAGUGGGGUGUCAAAACUACCGGCUCAACUGGUAGUCGCCCUCAAAACUGCAGCUCUUGAGUGAAGUAGAGGCAGGCGGAAGUCCUAGUGUAGCGGUGAAAUGCGUAGAUAUUAGGAGGAACACCAGUGGCGAAGGCGGCCUGCUGGGCUUUUACUGACGCUGAGGCUCGAAAGUGUGGGGAGCAAACAGGAUUAGAUACCCGGGUAGUC
This 440-nucleotide ribosomal RNA is filed under the name uncultured bacterium. Its description in RNAcentral is "partial 16S ribosomal RNA". It matches the Rfam family "Bacterial small subunit ribosomal RNA", at positions 338 to 795 of the family's 1533-position model. The record is from RNAcentral.